This 388-nucleotide unclassified non-coding RNA is filed under the name soil metagenome. RNAcentral describes it as "partial contains 5.8S ribosomal RNA, internal transcribed spacer 2, and large subunit ribosomal RNA". The stretch from base 1 to 122 matches the Rfam family "5.8S ribosomal RNA", at positions 35 to 154 of the family's 154-position model. The record is from RNAcentral.
GAUGAAGAACGUAGCGAAAUGCGAUACUUGGUGUGAAUUGCAGAAUCCCGUGAACCAUCGAGUCUUUGAACGCAAGUUGCGCCCGAAGCCAUUAGGCCGAGGGCACGCCUGCCUGGGCGUCACACGUCGUUGCCCCCCCAUCUACUCCUUCGGGAUUGCGGGGGGCGGAUGAUGGCCUCCCGUGCGCCUCGUCGCGCGGUUGGCCUAAAUGCCAAGUCCUCGGCGACGCACGCCACGACAAUCGGUGGUUGCGAAACCUCGGUUGCCCGUCGUGUGCGGUCGUUGCGCAUCGAGGGCUCGAAAAAAUUGCCGGGCUUCGGCUCGACUUUCAACGCGACCCCAGGUCAGGCGGGGUUACCCGCUGAAUUUAAGCAUAUCAAUAAGCGGA